GACGAACGCUGGCGGCGUGCUUAACACAUGAAGUCGAACGGAAAGGCCCUGCUUUUGUGGGGUGCUCGAGUGGCGAACGGGUGAGUAACACGUGAGUAACCUGCCCUUGACUUUGGGAUAACUUCAGGAAACUGGGGCUAAUACCGGAUAGGAGCUCCUGCUGCAUGGUGGGGGUUGGAAAGUUUCGGCGGUUGGGGAUGGACUCGCGGCUUAUCAGCUUGUUGGUGGGGUAGUGGCUUACCAAGGCUUUGAAGGGUAGCCGGCCUGAGAGGGUGACCGGCCACAUUGGGACUGAGAUACGGCGCAGACUCCUACGGGAGGCAGCAGGGGGGAAUAUUGCACAAUGGGCGGAAGCCUGAUGCAGCAACGCCGCGUGCGGGAUGACGGCCUUCGGGUUGUAAACCGCUGUCGCCUGUGACGAAGCGUGAGUGACGGUAAUGGGUAAAGAAGCACCGGCUAACUACGUG
This 467-nucleotide ribosomal RNA is filed under the name uncultured bacterium. RNAcentral describes it as "partial 16S ribosomal RNA". It matches the Rfam family "Bacterial small subunit ribosomal RNA", at positions 28 to 507 of the family's 1533-position model. The record is from RNAcentral.